RNAcentral lists this ribosomal RNA (465 nucleotides) under Vreelandella stevensii. RNAcentral describes it as "partial 16S ribosomal RNA". It matches the Rfam family "Bacterial small subunit ribosomal RNA", at positions 338 to 795 of the family's 1533-position model. The record is from RNAcentral. Lineage: Bacteria; Pseudomonadati; Pseudomonadota; Gammaproteobacteria; Oceanospirillales; Halomonadaceae.
CCUACGGGGUGCUGCAGUGGGGAAUAUUGGACAAUGGGCGAAAGCCUGAUCCAGCCAUGCCGCGUGUGUGAAGAAGGCCUUCGGGUUGUAAAGCACUUUCAGUGGGGAAGAAAGCCUUGGGGCUAAUACCCUCGAGGAAGGACAUCACCCACAGAAGAAGCACCGGCUAACUCCGUGCCAGCAGCCGCGGUAAUACGGAGGGUGCGAGCGUUAAUCGGAAUUACUGGGCGUAAAGCGCGCGUAGGCGGUCUGAUAAGCCGGUUGUGAAAGCCCCGGGCUCAACCUGGGAACGGCAUCCGGAACUGUCAGGCUAGAGUGCAGGAGAGGAAGGUAGAAUUCCCGGUGUAGCGGUGAAAUGCGUAGAGAGCGGGAGGAAUACCAGUGGCGAAGGCGGCCUUCUGGACUGACACUGACGCUGAGGUGCGAAAGCGUGGGUAGCAAACAGGAUUAGAUACCCCGGUAGUC